This 107-nucleotide ribosomal RNA is filed under the name Phycisphaera sp. Lineage: Bacteria; Pseudomonadati; Planctomycetota; Phycisphaerae; Phycisphaerales; Phycisphaeraceae. The record is from RNAcentral.
UUCGGCGACCAUAGGUCAGGGGUCACACCUGUUCCCAUCCCGAACACAGCAGUUAAGCCCUGGCCGCCGAUGAUACUGCACUGCGGGAAAGUAGGUCAUCGCCGUAC